UUUUUGGAGAGUUUGAUCUUGGCUCAGGACGAACGCUGGCGGCGUGCCUAAUACAUGCAAGUCGAGCGCUGGAAGCUAAUUUCAUCCCUUCGGGAUGAAAUUAGUGGAAAGAGCGGCGGACGGGUGAGUAACACGUGGGCAACCUACCUAUAAGACUGGGAUAACUCGCGGAAACGUGAGCUAAUACCGGAUAAUACUUUUUAUUGCAUAGUAAGAAGUUUGAAAGGCGGCGUAAGCUGUCACUUAUAGAUGGGCCCGCGGCGCAUUAGCUAGUUGGUGAGGUAAAGGCUCACCAAGGCAACGAUGCGUAGCCGACCUGAGAGGGUGAUCGGCCACAC
This 338-nucleotide ribosomal RNA is filed under the name Bacilli bacterium. RNAcentral describes it as "bacterial SSU rRNA". It matches the Rfam family "Bacterial small subunit ribosomal RNA", at positions 1 to 313 of the family's 1533-position model. Lineage: Bacteria; Bacillati; Bacillota; Bacilli. The record is from RNAcentral.